Molecule: ribosomal RNA, 253 nt
Filed under: uncultured bacterium
Lineage: Bacteria
Description: partial 16S ribosomal RNA
Rfam family: Bacterial small subunit ribosomal RNA
Source: RNAcentral
UACAGAGGGUGCGAGCGUUAAUCGGAAUUACUGGGCGUAAAGCGCGCGUAGGCGGCUUUGCAAGUCGGGUGUGAAAUCCCCGGGCUUAACCUGGGAACUGCAUUUGUGACUGCAUAGCUAGAGUACGGCAGAGGGGGAUGGAAUUCCGCGUGUAGCAGUGAAAUGCGUAGAUAUGCGGAGGAACACCGAUGGCGAAGGCAAUCCCCUGGGCCUGUACUGACGCUCAUGCACGAAAGCGUGGGGAGCAAACAGG